GCCAGUGUGAUGUAGUGGUUUAAGCAUUGGACUAUGACUCUGGAGACCAGGGUUUGAAUCCCUACUCAGCCA
Molecule: transfer RNA, 72 nt
Filed under: Phrynosoma platyrhinos (Desert horned lizard)
Lineage: Eukaryota; Metazoa; Chordata; Lepidosauria; Squamata; Phrynosomatidae
Description: tRNA-OTHER
Source: RNAcentral